AGCAGCCGCGGUAAUUCCAGCUCCAAUAGCGUAUAUUAAAGUUGUUGCAGUUAAAAAGCUCGUAGUUGAAUUUCGGGGUUAGUAGGUUGGUCAUGCCUCUGGUAUGUACUGGUCUCACUGAUUCCUCCUUCCUGAUGAGCCGUAAUGCCAUUAAUUUGGUGUUGCGGGGAAUUUGGACUGUUACUUUGAAAAAUUAGAGUGUUUAAAGCAAGCUAACGCUUGAAUACAUUAGCAUGGAAUAAUGAAAUAGGACGUUCGAUCCUAUUUUGUUGGUUUCUAGGAUUGACGUAAUGAUUAAUAGGGAUAGUUGGGGGCAUUAGUAUUCAAUUGUCAGAGGUGAAAUUCUUGGAUUUAUUGAAGACUAACUACUGCGAAAGCAUUUGCCAAGGAUGUUUUCAUUAAUCAAGAACGAAAGUUAGGGGAUCGAAGACGAUCAGAUACCGUCGUAGUCUUAACCAUAAACUAUGCCGACUAGGGAUCGGAUGAUGUUAAUUUUUAAUGUACU
RNAcentral lists this unclassified non-coding RNA (505 nucleotides) under uncultured Glomus. RNAcentral describes it as "SSU rRNA". It matches the Rfam family "Eukaryotic small subunit ribosomal RNA", at positions 569 to 1078 of the family's 1831-position model. The record is from RNAcentral. Lineage: Eukaryota; Fungi; Glomeromycota; Glomeromycetes; Glomerales; Glomeraceae.